CCUACGGGCGGCUGCAGUAAGGAAUAUUGGUCAAUGGAGGAAACUCUGAACCAGCCAUCCCGCGUGAAGGAUGAAGGGGCUCUGCCUUGUAAACUUCUUUUGUCUGGGGCGAAACAUCUCGAUUUAUCGAGAACUGACGGUACCAGAAGAAUAAGCACCGGCUAACUCCGUGCCAGCAGCCGCGGUAAUCCGGAGGGUGCAAGCAUUAUCCGGAAUCACGGGGUUGAAGGCGUGCGUGGACGGCUUAGGUGAAAGGCUGUGGCUUAACCAGGGAAGUGCCAUUGAUACUGCAGAGCUGGAAUGAGGUUGAGGUUGGCGGAAUGUGACAUGUAGCGGUGAAAUGCUUAGAUAUGUCAUGGAACACCGAUUGCGAAGGCAGCUGACUGGACCUAGAUUGACGCUGAGGCACGAAAGCGUGGGGAGCGAACAGGAUUAGAUACCCCAGUAGUC
This 450-nucleotide ribosomal RNA is filed under the name uncultured bacterium. RNAcentral describes it as "partial 16S ribosomal RNA". It matches the Rfam family "Bacterial small subunit ribosomal RNA", at positions 338 to 795 of the family's 1533-position model. The record is from RNAcentral.